UACGGAGGGUGCAAGCGUUAUCCGGAUUUACUGGGUUUAAAGGGUGCGUAGGUGGAUUUGUAAGUCAGUGGUGAAAUCUCCGGGCUUAACCCGGAAACUGCCAUCGAUACUAUAAGUCUUGAAUUAUCUGGAGGUAAGCGGAAUAUGUCAUGUAGCGGUGAAAUGCUUAGAUAUGACAUAGAACACCAAUUGCGAAGGCAGCUUACUACGGAUAUAUUGACACUGAGGCACGAAAGCGUGGGGAUCAAACAGG
This 253-nucleotide ribosomal RNA is filed under the name uncultured bacterium. RNAcentral's name for it is "partial 16S ribosomal RNA". It matches the Rfam family "Bacterial small subunit ribosomal RNA", at positions 524 to 776 of the family's 1533-position model. The record is from RNAcentral.